UACGGAGGGUGCGAGCGUUGUCCGGAAUCAUUGGGCGUAAAGGGCGCGUAGGUGGCCCGGUCAGUCAGUGGUGAAAGCGCGGGGCUCAACCCCGCGUCGGCCAUUGAUACUGCGGGGCUCGAGCACUGUAGAGGCAGGCGGAAUUCCGGGUGUAGCGGUGGAAUGCGUAGAGAUCCGGAAGAACACCGGUGGCGAAGGCGGCCUGCUGGGCAGUUGCUGACACUGAGGCGCGACAGCGUGGGGAG
RNAcentral lists this ribosomal RNA (245 nucleotides) under uncultured bacterium. RNAcentral describes it as "partial 16S ribosomal RNA". It matches the Rfam family "Bacterial small subunit ribosomal RNA", at positions 524 to 768 of the family's 1533-position model. The record is from RNAcentral.